Molecule: ribosomal RNA, 516 nt
Filed under: Triticum aestivum (bread wheat)
Lineage: Eukaryota; Viridiplantae; Streptophyta; Magnoliopsida; Poales; Poaceae
Description: partial small subunit ribosomal RNA
Source: RNAcentral
AUGAAAGAUCUGGGAGAAGCCGAUGUAAUUCUAAACAUCAAACUUAUUAAGGAUGAGAGUGGGAUUACAUUAACGCAAUCUCACUAUGUUGAGAAGGUCUUGAACCGAUUCGGUUUUAUGGAUAGCAAGCCUUCUCCAACACCUUAUGAUCCCAGCGCGAAACUCAGAAAGAACAAGAAAGAAACGAGAGAUCAAUUAAGAUACUCUCAAAUUGUCGGUUCACUCGUGUACUUAGCUAGCGCUACAAGACCAGAUAUCUCUUUUGCUGUGAGCAAACUGAGUAGGUUCAUGUCCAACCCGGGUGAUGAUCAUUGGCAUGCACUAGAAAGGGUCUUGCGCUAUCUGAGAGGUACUAUGAGUUACGGAAUUACUUAUUCAGGGCAUCCUGCUGUGCUAGAAGGAUAUAGUGAUUCAAAUUGGAUCUCCGAUGUUGAUGUACUCUACGCAACAAGUGGGUAUGUAUUUACUCAUGGUGGUGGCGCAGUGUCAUGGAGGUCUUGCAAGCAAACCAUAUAG